GAUGAACGCUGGCGGCGUGCCUAAUACAUGCAAGUCGAGCGAACGGACGAGAAGCUUGCUUCUCUGAUGUUAGCGGCGGACGGGUGAGUAACACGUGGAUAACCUACCUAUAAGACUGGGAUAACUUCGGGAAACCGGAGCUAAUACCGGAUAAUAUUUUGAACCGCAUGGUUCAAAAGUGAAAGACGGUCUUGCUGUCACUUAUAGAUGGAUCCGCGCUGCAUUAGCUAGUUGGUAAGGUAACGGCUUACCAAGGCAACGAUGCAUAGCCGACCUGAGAGGGUGAUCGGCCACACUGGAACUGAGACACGGUCCAGACUCCUACGGGAGGCAGCAGUAGGGAAUCCUCCGCAAUGGGCGAAAGCCUGACGGAGCAACGCCGCGUGAGUGAUGAAGGUCUUCGGAUCGUAAAACUCUGUUAUUAGGGAAGAACAUAUGUGUAAGUAACUGUGCACAUCUUGACGGUACCUAAUCAGAAAGCCACGGCUAACUACGUGCCAGCAGCCGCGGUAAUACGUAGGUGGCAAGCGUUAUCCGGAAUUAUUGGGCGUAAAGCGCGCGUAGGCGGUUUUUUAAGUCUGAUGUGAAAGCCCGCGGCUCAACCGUGGAGGGUCAUUGGAAACUGGAAAACUUGAGUGCAGAAGAGGAAAGUGGAAUUCCAUGUGUAGCGGUGAAAUGCGUAGAGAUAUGGAGGAACACCAGUGGCGAAGGCGACUUUCUGGUCUGUAACUGACGCUGAUGUGCGAAAGCGUGGGGAUCAAACAGGAUUAGAUACCCUGGUAGUCCACGCCGUAAACGAUGAGUGCUAAGUGUUAGGGGGUUUCCGCCCCUUAGUGCUGCAGCUAACGCAUUAAGCACUCCGCCUGGGGAGUACGACCGCAAGGUUGAAACUCAAAGGAAUUGACGGGGACCCGCACAAGCGGUGGAGCAUGUGGUUUAAUUCGAAGCAACGCGAAGAACCUUACCAAAUCUUGACAUCCUUUGACAACUCUAGAGAUAGAGCUUUCCCCUUCGGGGGACAAAGUGACAGGUGGUGCAUGGUUGUCGUCAGCUCGUGUCGUGAGAUGUUGGGUUAAGUCCCGCAACGAGCGCAACCCUUAAGCUUAGUUGCCAUCAUUAAGUUGGGCACUCUAAGUUGACUGCCGGUGACAAACCGGAGGAAGGUGGGGAUGACGUCAAAUCAUCAUGCCCCUUAUGAUUUGGGCUACACACGUGCUACAAUGGACAAUACAAAGGGCAGCGAAACCGCGAGGUCAAGCAAAUCCCAUAAAGUUGUUCUCAGUUCGGAUUGUAGUCUGCAACUCGACUACAUGAAGCUGGAAUCGCUAGUAAUCGUAGAUCAGCAUGCUACGGUGAAUACGUUCCCGGGUCU
RNAcentral lists this ribosomal RNA (1372 nucleotides) under uncultured bacterium. RNAcentral's name for it is "bacterial SSU rRNA". It matches the Rfam family "Bacterial small subunit ribosomal RNA", at positions 28 to 1381 of the family's 1533-position model. The record is from RNAcentral.